GAGGAAUAUUGGUCAAUGGACGGAAGUCUGAACCAGCCAUGCCGCGUGCAGGAAGACGGCUCUAUGAGUUGUAAACUGCUUUUGUACGAGGGUAAACGCAGAUACGUGUAUCUGCCUGAAAGUAUCGUACGAAUAAGGAUCGGCUAACUCCGUGCCAGCAGCCGCGGUAAUACGGAGGAUCCAAGCGUUAUCCGGAUUUAUUGGGUUUAAAGGGUGCGUAGGCGGUUUAGUAAGUCAGCGGUGAAAUUUUGGUGCUUAACACCAAACGUGCCGUUGAUACUGCUGGGCUAGAGAGUAGUUGCGGUAGGCGGAAUGUAUGGUGUAGCGGUGAAAUGCUUAGAGAUCAUACAGAACACCGAUUGCGAAGGCAGCUUACCAAACUAUAUCUGACGUUGAGGCACGAAAGCGUGGGGAGCAAAC
Molecule: ribosomal RNA, 420 nt
Filed under: uncultured bacterium
Lineage: Bacteria
Description: bacterial SSU rRNA
Rfam family: Bacterial small subunit ribosomal RNA
Source: RNAcentral